Molecule: transfer RNA, 72 nt
Filed under: Ovis aries (sheep)
Lineage: Eukaryota; Metazoa; Chordata; Mammalia; Artiodactyla; Bovidae
Rfam family: tRNA
About the family: Transfer RNA (tRNA) molecules are approximately 80 nucleotides in length. Their secondary structure includes four short double-helical elements and three loops (D, anti-codon, and T loops).
Source: Rfam by way of RNAcentral
UCCCUGAUGGCUCAGUGGUAAAGAAUCUGCCUGCCAAUACAAGAGAUAUGAGUUCAAUCCUCAAUCAGGGAA